GUGGGGAAUCUUAGACAAUGGGCGCAAGCCUGAUCUAGCCAUGCCGCGUGAGCGAUGAAGGCCUUAGGGUUGUGAAGCUCUUUCGUGGGGGAAGAUAAUGACUGAACCCCAAGAAGAAGCCCCGGCUAACUUCGUGCCAGCAGCCGCGGUAAUACGAAGGGGGCUAGCGUUGCUCGGAUUUACUGGGCGUAAAGGGCGCGUAGGCGGACAUUUAAGUCAGGGGUGAAAUCCCGGGGCUCAACCUCGGAACUGCCUUUGAUACUGGGUGUCUUGAGUAUGAGAGCAGUGUGUGGAACUCCGAGUGUAGAGGUGAAAUUCGUAGAUAUUCGGAAGAACACCAGUGGCGAAGGCGACACACUGGCUCAUUACUGACGCUGAGGCGCGAAAGCGUGGGGAGCAAACAGGAUUAGAAACCCUGGUAGUCC
This 425-nucleotide ribosomal RNA is filed under the name uncultured bacterium. RNAcentral describes it as "partial 16S ribosomal RNA". It matches the Rfam family "Bacterial small subunit ribosomal RNA", at positions 354 to 796 of the family's 1533-position model. The record is from RNAcentral.